This 2487-nucleotide long non-coding RNA is filed under the name Macaca mulatta (Rhesus monkey). Its description in RNAcentral is "lncRNA (ENSMMUG00000058948.1)". Lineage: Eukaryota; Metazoa; Chordata; Mammalia; Primates; Cercopithecidae. The record is from RNAcentral.
ACUCAGAUGACAGUCAGUGAGAACUUUAGACCAGAUCAACCUCAAUGAAUGUGAAUAACUUCAGUGCAAUCUUAUUUCUGGUAAGUAUGCAAUAUCCAUCAGGGCUUCUGAAUAAAAAGAGCUCACAGAUUCCUACACUCCAUUUCAGGGUUCCUAGGAGUCCCACAGAAACGGAUAGAAAAACUUUCAGGUAGAAAUGAGGUUGACCUAUCUCUUUUUUUCCGGCAGAGUAUUCUGCCUUGAAGAAAAUUUGAAGAUGUUUGCAAUAUCUUUGAUUACACAAUUCAAGCCGUUAUUGAUCUGUGAAAGUUUCCUCAUUCCAGGGAGCAAUCUGCUUUAUGGGAGGGAGCUGUGCCCAGUUCAUGGGUCUUUCCAUGUGACUUUGAGGGGACAAAAGCAUCAAGUUCAAGGACAUUAUUAGGAAAAGCAUCCAAAUACCUUGGAGAUUCUCACAGGGAGGGGCUGAGGUGAUGGGGGUAGGACAAACUCCUCGUGGUGGAAUAAGUAAGAAAGUGAAAACCACAUCGUGAGGUUAAAUAAGCAAGAUGAAUCAAAAUGCCAAGCUUCUUUAUUCUAAGUGAAGAAUUGCAUUCUCAAGGCUCCCUUCUAUUAGAAAAAUGAAGUCUUGUGUUCAGGUGGUUAAAUCAAACAUAAAAAGGAGAAAUAAAUUUCCCGGUGCCAAUAAAAAGUCUCUCCUUGCUGCUCAAAGCAAAAGUUUUGAGACAUUCAACAAUAGGUCAAAAUAACAUUCUGUGUUCUGUACACCAUAUUCCAAACUCAAGCAAAAUGUCUACGGAUUUUUUUUUUUUUAUUUCAAAGCCUUUUGAUUAAAGUGUACCAGAAGGGCACUGACAGAGCAGGCUGUUUCUGUUCUUCUGCGGAAGGUUUCAAUGGCCGCCGCACACUCUCUAAAUCUAUUUACUUCAAGGCUGGAAUGAAACAAACAUGACAGAUGGUUUUUUAAAAAAUCAAAGGGGAAGUUCUUGGAACACAUCCUUCAAAAUAAAAUUUUGUUUCUUUUUUUUUUUUUUUUUUUUGGAGCAGCUGAAAUGAUUUUUCAGAACAUCUGAUGAGCGAUUUUAAUACUUCAACUUUCUCCUCCAUGAAGCGAGCCCAUUCAUUUGGAGACUUCUGUUCUUUUGUUUUAUUUCUGUGAGUGUCUUUCUUUGACAAGACAUAAAGUCUGAAAACCACAAUAUGCUAAAUGAAUGGACCCAUAGUAUAUUUGGCUACAUAAGGGCUGCUGGAGUAUACUUUGGAUUUUGACGGGGUAAUAGAAUGCUUAAUGCAAGAAAUCUUGAAAAAAUAAAAAGGAAAGUUAAUGAGUCUUCAUGUUUACUAUUGCUCAUGUUCAAGAGGGAUGAGCAAUUUUCCCUCACCUGUUGUAAGGACAGUAACUAGAGGGGUACUCCAUUCCCCUGAAGGCCGGACAGGUUGAUGGUUAGGAAAAUACCAGAAAAGGGAAUGGAGGGUUGAGGGACUUGAGGAACGGUUUGGGGAUUACUGUGUAGAGCUGGUUUUCACCUACUCAUGCUCAGAGGAGCAUUGGUUUAACACCACCAGUAAGCCUCAUUUACAAAGCUGAAAUUUAACUUUUGGAAACGUGCAAAACCACAAUUGACAUUAGCACAGUCUGUUAAAAGUAAGGAAUGGCUCUUGCUCAGUUUUCAUAUGGACUGGAUAUAAGGGAGAAAGAGGAGUCAAAUAGGACUCCCAGGUCUCCUGGGUGGGUCACAGCAGGAGGGACACUGAGUCCAUGGAAGAUAGGAGACAAAGGAGAUCUGGAUGCUAAUACAUUUGCUUCCAAAGGCUUGUCUAUAAAGACUCACAAAUUUAGAAAUCAUGCCAUCUCUGGAUCUCAUAAUUAGAAACUGGAGGACUGAGACCUCCACAGAAAAGCAGCGUGAGGCUAUUGUUUAAAAACACUAACUUUGGUUUGCAAAAGACCUGGAUUAAAGUCCCUGCAUCCCCACCUUCUAGCCAUGUGACCCCAGAUCAAGGGGAACAGCCUUUUUGGGUUCUUUCCUUAUUGGUUAAACUUUGGUCACUGAACCUUCUUGUUAGGAUGUUAAGAUACUCAGAUGAAGUCAUGUGAAGAACGUCAUGUGAAGAACGCGUUUAUCAUAGAAAUAGGCCCUUAACACAGCUAUUCCCCUCCACUCAGACUCCAUGGUACCAGUCAAAGGAGAAUAUAUUCUAUAUGGGAGUCACAAGAUCUGCUCUGACCAUAGCCCUCGCCUAAGAAAAAACAACAUUACAUUAAGUGAAAUAAGCCAGGCACAGAAGAACAAACACUGCCUGAUUCCAUUUAUAUGCAUUAUCGAAUGCAGUCGAACUCAUUGAAGCAGAAAGCAGAAUGGUGGUUGCCGGGGCUGAGGAGGACGGAAAUAAAAAGUUGCUAUUCAAUGGGUACGGGGCUUCAGUCAUACAAGAUGAAAAAGUUCUAGUGAUCUGCUGUACGGCAAUGUGCAUAUAAUUAACAAUACC